AGAGUUUGAUCCUGCUCAGAUUGACGCUGCGCAGGCCUAACACAUGCAAGUCGAGCGAAACGAGUUAACUGAACCUUCGGGAACGUUAACGGCGUCGAGCGGCGGACGGGUGAGUAAUGCCUGGGAAGUUGCCUGAUGUGGGGGAUAACCAUUGGAAACGAUGGCUAAUACCGCAUAAUAGCUUCGGCUCAAAGAGGGGGACCUUUCGGGCCUCUCGCGUCAGGAUAUGCCCAGGUGGGAUUAGCUAGUUGGUGAGGUAAUGGCUCACCAAGGCGACGAUCCCUAGCUGGUCUGAGAGGAUGAUCAGCCACACUGGAACUGAGACACGGUCCAGACUCCUACGGGAGGCAGCAGUGGGGAAUAUUGCACAAUGGGCGCAAGCCUGAUGCAGCCAUGCCGCGUGUAUGAAGAAGGCCUUCGGGUUGUAAAGUACUUUCAGCAGUGAGGAAGGUGGGUAUGUUAAUAGCAUAUUCAUUUGACGUUAGCUGCAGAAGAAGCACCGGCUAACUCCGUGCCAGCAGCCGCGGUAAUACGGAGGGUGCGAGCGUUAAUCGGAAUUACUGGGCGUAAAGCGCAUGCAGGUGGUUUGUUAAGUCAGAUGUGAAAGCCCGGGGCUCAACCUCGGAAUUGCAUUUGAAACUGGCAAACUAGAGUACUGUAGAGGGGGGUAGAAUUUCAGGUGUAGCGGUGAAAUGCGUAGAGAUCUGAAGGAAUACCGGUGGCGAAGGCGGCCCCCUGGACAGAUACUGACACUCAGAUGCGAAAGCGUGGGGAGCAAACAGGAUUAGAUACCCUGGUAGUCCACGCCGUAAACGAUGUCUACUUGGAGGUUGUGGCCUUGAGCCGUGGCUUUCGGAGCUAACGCGUUAAGUAGACCGCCUGGGGAGUACGGUCGCAAGAUUAAAACUCAAAGGAAUUGACGG
RNAcentral lists this ribosomal RNA (923 nucleotides) under uncultured marine bacterium. RNAcentral describes it as "bacterial SSU rRNA". It matches the Rfam family "Bacterial small subunit ribosomal RNA", at positions 8 to 916 of the family's 1533-position model. The record is from RNAcentral.